This 122-nucleotide ribosomal RNA is filed under the name Pogona vitticeps (central bearded dragon). The record is from RNAcentral. Lineage: Eukaryota; Metazoa; Chordata; Lepidosauria; Squamata; Agamidae.
CAUUGUUAUUACGAUACCAUCCUGAACAUACCUGAUCUUGUCCAGUUUUGGAAGCUAAGCAGGGCUGGUCUAGUUAAUACAUGAAUAGAAUACCACAAGGUAAUCUUUAGAUAGAGCUAGGA